RNAcentral lists this long non-coding RNA (474 nucleotides) under Lathyrus oleraceus (garden pea). Its description in RNAcentral is "Pisum sativum (pea) long non-coding RNA (PSAT_LNC006018)". Lineage: Eukaryota; Viridiplantae; Streptophyta; Magnoliopsida; Fabales; Fabaceae. The record is from RNAcentral.
GUGUUAAAUAUAUGGGAAAAAAAACAAAUUUUGAAAAUAACGUAGAGCUACUUUUGCUAGAAACAUAUAACCUAUUAGGUGGAUACAUGGGAAAAGAGCUAUGUUUGCUUUGAACAUUAUAGGAUGGGAUGAAACACUAACCUAUUAGGUGGAUACAUGGGAAAAGAGCUAUGUUUGCUUUGAACAUUAUAGGAUGGGAUGAAACACUCCAAAUCGAUGUAUUUGAUUUAAAAUGACAUAUACUUAUACAUAUUACUUAGCUACUGAAUGCAUUUGUUUAACAUAGUAGCCUUCUCAAGAUGACUAUGUAUACAACACCAAAUCAACACAAGUAGAAUAAUUUAUACUUAUUUUAUACAUCGUUUUAAAAAUUAAAUAUAUGUCUUAAACACUAAAACAAGGAAAUAUGCAAUUUUUUUAUGAAUAAUUAUAAUGACCUAAAUUAUAAUGUAUCGAUAUUGAGUUUUUUAAAAU